AUGGUGGAAGGCUCGGAGGUGGACAUCUCUCAUUUGAAGUUCCUCCUACUCUGCUUCCAACAAAUGUCUGGCCUCAUGAUCAACCUCGACAAGAGCGAUGUGAUGCUGAUGGGAUAUUCUCCGGAUGAAUGCCAGGGCAUUGCCAACCGCCUUAACUGCCGCCUGGGAUCCUUCCCCACGACCUACUUGGGUACGCCCAUUAGUGACUCGCGGCUCACCGUCGCCGACCUGCGUCCGACCGUGGCCAAGUUGUAGACUCGCAUUGAGCCUUGGCAAGGGAGGUGGUUGUCGAAGGCAGCCCGGACGAUUCUCAUCAACUCCUCCCUCUCUAGCCUCCUCCUGUUCCUCAUGAGCUUCUAUAGUCUGCACGAGACUCUGCAUCAUGAGAUCGCCAGAGUCCAGACUCGUUUCUACUGGGCGGGCGACAAUAAUAAGCAGAAAUACCAUAUGGUUAGCUGGCCGGACAUCUGCAAACCGCAGGAGCAAGGUGGCCUCAGGAUCAUGUGCUCUAAGCGCAUGAACAUCGCCCUCUUAUCCCGCCGGCUGUGGCGCAUCUCGCAAGGGCAAGGAGGCCUCUGGUUAGACAUCAUCCGGAACAAGUACCUUCGUGGUCAGCCCCUCGCCUUCUGCUAG
Molecule: ribosomal RNA, 633 nt
Filed under: Triticum aestivum (bread wheat)
Lineage: Eukaryota; Viridiplantae; Streptophyta; Magnoliopsida; Poales; Poaceae
Description: partial small subunit ribosomal RNA
Source: RNAcentral